GGUUAACCGAAUAGGGGAGCCGAAGGGAAACCGAGUCUUAACUGGGCGUUAAGUUGCAGGGUAUAGACCCGAAACCCGGUGAUCUAGCCAUGGGCAGGUUGAAGGUUGGGUAACACUAACUGGAGGACCGAACCGACUAAUGUUGAAAAAUUAGCGGAUGACUUGUGGCUGGGGGUGAAAGGCCAAUCAAACCGGGAGAUAGCUGGUUCUCCCCGAAAGCUAUUUAGGUAGCGCCUCGUGAAUUCAUCUUCGGGGGUAGAGCACUGUUUCGGCUAGGGGGUCAUCCCGACUUACCAACCCGAUGCAAACUGCGAAUACCGAAGAAUGUUAUCACGGGAGACACACGGCGGGUGCUAACGUCCGUCGUGAAGAGGGAAACAACCCAGACCGCCAGCUAAGGUCCCAAAGUCAUGGUUAAGUGGGAAACGAUGUGGGAAGGCACAGACAGCCAGGAUGUUGGCUUAGAAGCAGCCAUCAUUUAAAGAAAGCGUAAUAGCUCACUGGUCGAGUCGGCCUGCGCGGAAGAUGUAACGGGGCUAAACCAUGCACCGAAGCUGCGGCAGCGACACUAUGUGUUGUUGGGUAGGGGAGCGUUCUGUAAGCCGUUGAAGGUGUAUCGUGAGGUAUGCUGGAGGUAUCAGAAGUGCGAAUGCUGACAUAAGUAACGAUAAUGCGGGUGAAAAACCCGCACGCCGGAAGACCAAGGGUUCCUGUCCAACGUUAAUCGGGGCAGGGUGAGUCGACCCCUAAGGCGAGGCCGAAAGGCGUAGUCGAUGGGAAACAGGUUAAUAUUCCUGUACUUGGUGUUACUGCGAAGGGGGGACGGAGAAGGCUAUGUUAGCCGGGCGACGGUUGUCCCGGUUUAAGCAUGUAGGCGGAGGUUCCAGGUAAAUCCGGUACCUUUUAACGCUGAGGUGUGAUGACGAGGCACUACGGUGCUGAAGUAACAAAUGCCCUGCUUCCAGGAAAAGCCUCUAAGCAUCAGGUAACACGAAAUCGUACCCCAAACCGACACAGGUGGUCAGGUAGAGAAUACCAAGGCGCUUGAGAGAACUCGGGUGAAGGAACUAGGCAAAAUGGUGCCGUAACUUCGGGAGAAGGCACGCUGAUAUGUAGGUGAAGUGAUUUACUCAUGGAGCUGAAAUCAGUCGAAGAUACCAGCUGGCUGCAACUGUUUAUUAAAAACACAGCACUGUGCAAACACGAAAGUGGACGUAUACGGUGUGACGCCUGCCCGGUGCCGGAAGGUUAAUUGAUGGGGUUAUCCGUAAGGAGAAGCUCUUGAUCGAAGCCCCGGUAAACGGCGGCCGUAACUAUAACGGUCCUAAGGUAGCGAAAUUCCUUGUCGGGUAAGUUCCGACCUGCACGAAUGGCGUAAUGAUGGCCAGGCUGUCUCCACCCGAGACUCAGUGAAAUUGAACUCGCUGUGAAGAUGCAGUGUACCCGCGGCAAGACGGAAAGACCCCGUGAACCUUUACUAUAGCUUGACACUGAACACUGGUCCUUGAUGUGUAGGAUAGGUGGGAGGCUUUGAAGUGUGGACGCCAGUCUGCAUGGAGCCAUCCUUGAAAUACCACCCUUUAAUGGCUGGUGUUCUAACGUAGACCCGUAAUCCGGGUUGCGGACAGUGUCUGGUGGGUAGUUUGACUGGGGCGGUCUCCUCCUAAAGAGUAACGGAGGAGCACGAAGGUUAGCUAAUCCUGGUCGGACAUCAGGAGGUUAGUGCAAAGGCAUAAGCUAGCUUGACUGCGAGAGUGACGGCUCGAGCAGGUGCGAAAGCAGGUCUUAGUGAUCCGGUGGUUCUGAAUGGAAGGGCCAUCGCUCAACGGAUAAAAGGUACUCCGGGGAUAACAGGCUGAUACCGCCCAAGAGUUCAUAUCGACGGCGGUGUUUGGCACCUCGAUGUCGGCUCAUCACAUCCUGGGGCUGAAGUAGGUCCCAAGGGUAUGGCUGUUCGCCAUUUAAAGUGGUACGCGAGCUGGGUUUAGAACGUCGUGAGACAGUUCGGUCCCUAUCUGCCGUGGGCGCUGGAGAAUUGAGGGGGGCUGCUCCUAGUACGAGAGGACCGGAGUGGACGCAUCACUGGUGUUCGGGUUGUCAUGCCAAUGGCAUUGCCCGGUAGCUAAAUGCGGAAGAGAUAAGUGCUGAAAGCAUCUAAGCACGAAACUUGCCCCGAGAUGAGUUCUCCCUGACCCUUUAAGGGUCCUGAAGGAACGUUAAAGACGAUGACGUUGAUAGGUCGGGUGUGUAAGUGUAGCGAUACAUUGAGCUAACCGAUACUAAUGAACCGUGAGGCUUAACCUU
Molecule: ribosomal RNA, 2304 nt
Filed under: Citrobacter sp. Cpo071
Lineage: Bacteria; Pseudomonadati; Pseudomonadota; Gammaproteobacteria; Enterobacterales; Enterobacteriaceae
Description: partial 23S ribosomal RNA
Rfam family: Bacterial large subunit ribosomal RNA
Source: RNAcentral